AUUCGAACGGCAGGCGGGAAGUGCUCUAGCAGGGGAGUCUGACCUUGUGAGGGAAUACCUGUGUCCCCCCUUUUUUCCCCUUUUUACCCAAUAAAACCCUGCCUUACUCACCCUUUAAAUCAUCUGCGAGCCUGAAUUUUCAUGGCCGUGGGACGGACAAGAACUUUAUCUUCAGCUGAACUAAGAAAAAGUCCUGCAACAUUUUUGGCGCGCAAUGUGGGGGCACCAGAAGCGGGCACCGUUGAGCUGUUGCAACUGUUCUGCUGGAGCCUUAUGUAUGUGGUUGAAACCACCUGUACUACUGGAAUGAAAGCACCUUUACAGAAGAGGCAAUGCAAGUUGUAUUCAUCACAUGUGUAGAAUGAAUUAAGAUUUAUGCCAGUUGCAAAGAAGAAUAUUGGCUCACUAUUUUUCCUCUGGGCAUCAAUCAGCAUGUUUCCCUGCAGCUCAGCAGAAGUGCAAACCUGCUGCCUCCUGACUUUUGAACUGGAAACCAGGCUUUCAUGAAGGUCCUAGGGUGAGCUAUGCACUCAGCAGGUCCCUGGGAAGAUUACAGAGCCCGGCAAUGACACCAAUGAUAGGGCUGAAGAUGUUAGCAAGCAGCAGAGACUUCUUGGCCCAGGGAGUCAAUACAACACAUUUGAAGUUUUCAGCCUAUGCACACAUUGGUAUUGCAUUAAUAAGAGAACAUUGU
RNAcentral lists this long non-coding RNA (694 nucleotides) under Homo sapiens (human). RNAcentral's name for it is "non-protein coding MIR924HG:14". Lineage: Eukaryota; Metazoa; Chordata; Mammalia; Primates; Hominidae. The record is from RNAcentral.